This 224-nucleotide ribosomal RNA is filed under the name uncultured Carnobacteriaceae bacterium. Its description in RNAcentral is "partial 16S ribosomal RNA". It matches the Rfam family "Bacterial small subunit ribosomal RNA", at positions 116 to 334 of the family's 1533-position model. The record is from RNAcentral. Lineage: Bacteria; Bacillati; Bacillota; Bacilli; Lactobacillales; Carnobacteriaceae.
CGUGAGGAACUUGCCCAUGAGCGGGGGACAACAUUCGGAAACGGAUGCUAAUACCCCAUAGGUGGAUUGGUCGCAUGACUAAUUCAUUAAAGGUGGCUCUGCUACCACUCAUGGAUAGCCUCGCGGCGUAUUAGCUAGUUGGUAAGGUAAUGGCUUACCAAGGCAGUGAUACGUAGCCGACUUGAGAGGGUGAUCGGCCACACUAGGACUGAGACACGGCCCAG